Molecule: ribosomal RNA, 381 nt
Filed under: uncultured bacterium
Lineage: Bacteria
Description: bacterial SSU rRNA
Rfam family: Bacterial small subunit ribosomal RNA
Source: RNAcentral
AUUGAACGCUGGCGGCAUGCCUUACACAUGCAAGUCGAACGGCAGCACGGGAGCAAUCCUGGUGGCGAGUGGCGAACGGGUGAGUAAUAUAUCGGAACGUGCCCAGUCGUGGGGGAUAACGUAGCGAAAGCUACGCUAAUACCGCAUACGAUCUAUGGAUGAAAGCGGGGGAUCGCAAGACCUCGCGCGAUUGGAGCGGCCGAUAUCAGAUUAGGUAGUUGGUGAGGUAAAGGCUCACCAAGCCGACGAUCUGUAGCUGGUCUGAGAGGACGACCAGCCACACUGGGACUGAGACACGGCCCAGACUCCUACGGGAGGCAGCAGUGGGGGAAUUUUUGGACAAUGGGCGCAAGCCUGAUCCAGCAAUGCCGCGUGCAGGAU